RNAcentral lists this ribosomal RNA (320 nucleotides) under uncultured eukaryote. RNAcentral's name for it is "partial 18S ribosomal RNA". It matches the Rfam family "Eukaryotic small subunit ribosomal RNA", at positions 1470 to 1796 of the family's 1831-position model. The record is from RNAcentral.
CCCUUAGAUGUUCUGGGCCGCACGCGCGCUACACUGAACAGUUCAACAAGUCUUAACCUUGGCCGAUAGGUCUGGGUAAUCUUUGAACGCUGUUCGUGAUUGGGAUAGACCUUUGCAAUUAUGGGUCUUCAACGAGGAAUUCCUAGUAAACGCAAGUCAUCAGCUUGCAUUGAUUACGUCCCUGCCCUUUGUACACACCACCCGUCGCACCUACCGAUUGAAUGGUCCGGUGAAAUCUCGGGACGGCGGCUUGGUCGCUUGCGUCCGACUGCUGAAACUUGAUUAAACCAUAUCAUUUAGAGGAAGGUGAAGUCGUAACA